This is a long non-coding RNA of Coregonus clupeaformis (lake whitefish), 1026 nucleotides long. RefSeq lists it as uncharacterized. The transcript has 4 exons. The record is from RefSeq and is a predicted model, not a curated record. NCBI's taxonomy places the organism in Eukaryota, Metazoa, Chordata, Actinopteri, Salmoniformes, Salmonidae.
UUGUGUUGCAAUAUUUUCACGAAUGAAGUUUGUCAGAAUGGUAAAUACGUAAAAUAACGUUCGCUAACAACAAAACAUUUAUACAGAUAGUAUUGUUAGCUAACGUUAUUGUAUAGCUUCCCAGGCUUCCUUACGCUAACAUUAACUGUUUUUUAUAAAGCUAUAUAUAACGGUAAUGUUAGCAUGCUUCUGAUAGUUAGCCAGCUAAUGUUGGUGUUAUAAAACGAUAACUUAGAUCACUGAUUUGCAUGACGGGUUUGUUUAACAUUGCUUAACCAUUUUAAUGGUUAGCUACUGUUCGAACUAAAAUGGCUAAUGAGCUAGCUAACUUUGACACAUAGCUAGUUAUUUGGUAGCUAAUGGGACAAUGUGCCUCUAAACUUGAACUAGCCUACACCCAUUUGCUGCAGAAAAUGGCAGCUUAACGUUAUAUUCAACCAGCACAACUUUGUCUACUUCAGCCUUUGUAAUUGCAGUGUAACGUCUAAGUAAUGCAUAGUGCAUUGCGUAGCUAGUACUACUGAGAUAAAUGGAUAGUUAGCUAACGCUUAGUUGAACCAGCACUAAAUGAUGAUUUUGAAUAUAUAUUUUCUUUGUUAACAGAGGCAAAAUGCUGUUGCGUGUUCAGCUCGGGGAAGAGCAGAAAUACGUCAAGCUGUCUGAGCUGACAUUCAAUGCUUUCUUGAAAGAAGUGUGUCUAAAAUUCAACAUACCAGAAAGCAGAAAGCCAGACAUUAAGGUGUAUGACCAGUCUGACACAGAAGUUGACUCAGAUGUUUUUGAAGAAUUAGUAAAGGAGUCACCUGGAACUUUCAGAAUCAUGCUGGGCAAUGGACUUGAUACCUCUCAUUCAUCAUCAUGCUCGGGUACAUCUGAUGACACCAUCAUUCUGAAUUUCACUGUGUGUGACGAUGUUGAAGAAGUAGCGGCUGGCGAAGGAAGCCAGCCUAAAAGGCCAUGCCACAUAAACUAUGAGGCAAAAGCACUGAUUGAAAAAAUCCUAACAUCAAAGCCUGGUGGUGAACG